ACCGCCGCGCGGGCGGUUCCAGCGGAUGAGAGGCUGGAGAUGAGUCAGUGCCCUGUAGCCAAGAGGGCGAAUGGCAGAUUCGGGUGUGUGAUGGGUUUGCCGGUGCAAGCCCCCCUCUCGGAGGAGUGCCCUUGGCAGCUUCUCCUCGGACUGGUGAUAAAUGCCGGCAAUGGAGAUGGAUGGAGCUGUAGCACUUAGAGUUGCUAACCCACACUCCUGAGCUAUAGACGUGCGGACCAUUGUCCCGAUUUUUCCACGACAGUCCCAAAUUUAAAUGCUCUGCCCCGGCUCCCCAUGAAGUAGUGAAAUGCCCUGGAAAGCCCUGCCAGACAUUUCACUGCUCGGUGGGACACCAGCGUGCGGGAAGAAGCUCUGCCCCCUCCCAUUGCUCCUCACGUGCACCGCAGCCUCCUUCCCCUUCCCCCAACAGGGCCGUAGGGCAGCUGGGCCAGCUUCCAGGAAUGGGAGGCCCCUCCCUCGCUGCCCUCCCUCCCCACGCAGAACCGCCUGGUGGCCCCACCGCCUUCUCUUCUGGACUGCCUUGGAGCCCUGGCCUGGUGGCCCCACCGCCUUCUCUUCUGGACUGCCUUGGAGCCCUGGUCUGGUGGCCCCACCGCCUUCUCUUCUGGACUGCCUUGGAGUCCUGGUCUGGUGGCCCCACCGCCUUCUCUUCUGGACUGCCUUGGAGCCCUGGUCUGGUGGCCCCACCGCCUUCUCUUCUGGACUGCCUUGGAGCCCUGGCCUGGUGGCCCCACCGCCUUCUCUUCUGGACUGCCUUGGAGCCCUGGCCUGGUGGCCCCACCGCCUUCUCUUCUGGACUGCCUUGGAGCCCUGGCCUGGUGGCCCCACCGCCUUCUCUUCUGGACUGCCUUGGAGCCCUGGCCUGGUGGCCCCACCGCCUUCUCUUCUGGACUGCCUUGGAGCCCUGGCCUGGUGGCCCCACCGCCUUCUCUUCUGGACUGCCUUGGAGCCCUGGCCUGGUGGCCCCACCGCCUUCUCUUCUGGACUGCCUUGGAGCCCUGGCCUGGUGGCCCCACCGCCUUCUCUUCUGGACUGCCUUGGAGCCCUGGCCUGGUGGCCCCACCGCCUUCUCUUCUGGACUGCCUUGGAGCCCUGGCCUGGUGGCCCCACCGCCUUCUCUUCUGGACUGCCUUGGAGCCCUGGCCUGGUGGCCCCACCGCCUUCUCUUCUGGACUGCCUUGGAGCCCUGGCCUGGUGGCCCCACCGCCUUCUCUUCUGGACUGCCUUGGAGCCCUGGCCUGGUGGCCCCACCGCCUUCUCUUCUGGACUGCCUUGGAGCCCUGGCCUGGUGGCCCCACCGCCUUCUCUUCUGGACUGCCUUGGAGCCCUGGCCUGGUGGCCCCACCGCCUUCUCUUCUGGACUGCCUUGGAGCCCUGGCCUGGUGGCCCCACCGCCUUCUCUUCUGGACUGCCUUGGAGCCCUGGCCUGGUGGCCCCACCGCCUUCUCUUCUGGACUGCCUUGGAGCCCUGGCCUGGUGGCCCCACCGCCUUCUCUUCUGGACUGCCUUGGAGCCCUGGCCUGGUGGCCCCACCGCCUUCUCUUCUGGACUGCCUUGGAGCCCUGGCCUGGUGGCCCCACCGCCUUCUCUUCUGGACUGCCUUGGAGCCCUGGCCUGGUGGCCCCACCGCCUUCUCUUCUGGACUGCCUUGGAGCCCUGGCCUGGUGGCCCCACCGCCUUCUCUUCUGGACUGCCUUGGAGCCCUGGCCUGGUGGCCCCACCGCCUUCUCUUCUGGACUGCCUUGGAGCCCUGGCCUGGUGGCCCCACCGCCUUCUCUUCUGGACUGCCUUGGAGCCCUGGCCUGGUGGCCCCACCGCCUUCUCUUCUGGACUGCCUUGGAGCCCUGGUCUGGUGGCCCCACCGCCUUCUCUUCUGGACUGCCUUGGAGCCCUGGCCUGGUGGCCCCACCGCCUUCUCUUCUGGACUGCCUUGGAGCCCUGUGCGGAGCCCUGCUGGGGCUCUUUGGGGCAGGGCGCACUCAGGCCCGGCAGGUUUCAGGACUGGAGCGGAGGCUGCCUACCAUGCUAUUUUUAGUACUGCGGUCUGGGUCCCUGCAGGCAGCCCGGGCUCCAUCUGCAAUCAAGUGGCAGCCGCAUGAGGCAUGUUCCAGCUGGGGCAGCCUCACCAGAAUGGGCCUUAUUCAGCUGUCGCUUGACUCCGGCUGGGGGAGGGCCCGCGGUAAUAAAAAUAGCACUCCAGCCCCGCAAACUGCUUUCCACAUGGAAGGCAGCAGCCAAGUCCUUGAGGUGCGCACUGCACAUCCCUCCAGACCAGCUCUAGCAGCUAAGGAAGAGGCCAAGACACAGCAAAGAAGAUACGUCACUGUGCCAUGCGCAUUUCCCAGAGUCAUGGUCCGUUGUAGCGGGAUACAAUUAAUUGCCCUGCACAUUCACAGCAGUACAGGUAGACUUCCCCACUCCAAAGUGAUUCACAACUUCUUGGUUGAGCAGGGUUGUGAGUUGUAUCCCAGGGUCUUUGACUUUCCUACCCUACAUAUAGUGGCACAGGCCAUCUCUGCACUGAAGCUCAGUGUGAAGUUGCCUCUGCAGGAAGAGGAAUAGAGCUGUGUCAGAGUUGUGUACAUGUGUUUGUGUAGUAGCCAUGCCAGCUAUUUUGCCAUCUCACUUUGGGCCCUACCCACCCAGGCCUUCCACAGCACCCCCACCCACCCCAGUCAAAUCUGAGUGAAGCAUUGAAGUUAGGCAAAGCUGGGACAGUAGGGUGCAGUCACUCUUACCCAGAACCAAAGAGAUGUUUCCCAAAUGUCUACCUGGUCAUUUUUACUGCACUCUCAGGGGUAUGGAGCAGUGCCCCAUGUAAAAAUGUGUCAUAAUGAAUAUUCAGUGUCAAAUAUUGUGCAAGGCAGGGAUGGUGCGGGAAAUGGAUUACAAUGCUCAUCAGUCAUCUUCACCCUUACAGAGGGUUGCUUUACUUGGUGCUGAGUGAAACCCAGCAAGAUUAAUUAGUUUUCUUCCCAACCAAGCUUUAAAGGCAAAUUAAUUAGCUUGGUAGAAUUCAAGUCAGUUUCCCCUGAGGAGCUGGCUCCUUGUGUAUAGCACUAAUUGUCUAUCGUUUGCUGCCUAAGGUACCUCCAGGCUAGUGGCAGACAAUUGAUCAAGGCAAGAUCAUAGGUACUUGCAAUAUGUGGCAGAUCCUCUGUUCAUAAAUUAUAUUCUGGAUGGCUUGUUCUUUACUCACACCUAACACAGGUAGUGCACAACAACAUAACAUGGCUAAAUUUAGCAUAUACACAUGCAGGUAUAUACCUGAAAUGAAAUCAGGGCUCCUGAAAAAGAAAAAUAAAGGUACUCUGUACAACUAAAAUUCAGUCAGACACAGUCAUAUCAGGGGGUAUGUCUAC
Molecule: non-coding RNA, 3383 nt
Organism: Pelodiscus sinensis (Chinese soft-shelled turtle)
Lineage: Eukaryota; Metazoa; Chordata; Testudines; Trionychidae
Source: RefSeq, a predicted model, not a curated record